RNAcentral lists this ribosomal RNA (305 nucleotides) under Verrucomicrobiota bacterium. RNAcentral describes it as "Verrucomicrobia bacterium partial 16S ribosomal RNA". It matches the Rfam family "Bacterial small subunit ribosomal RNA", at positions 1239 to 1533 of the family's 1533-position model. Lineage: Bacteria; Pseudomonadati; Verrucomicrobiota. The record is from RNAcentral.
ACAGAACGAUCCGAGACCGCGAGGUGGAGGAAAUCUAUCGAAAACUGGGCCCAGUUCGGAUUGGAGUCUGCAACUCGACUCCAUGAAGCCGGAAUCGCUAGUAAUGGCGCAUCAGCUACGGCGCCGUGAAUACGUUCCCGGGCCUUGUACACACCGCCCGUCACAUCAUGGAAGUCGCUUGUAGCCGAAGCCGGCGUGCUAACCCGCAAGGGAGGCAGCCUUCUACGCUAUGAGCGGUAACUGGGAUGAAGUCGUAACAAGGUAGCCGUAGGGGAACCUGCGGCUGGAUCACCUCCUUUCUAAGG